Molecule: transfer RNA, 73 nt
Filed under: Agromyces indicus
Lineage: Bacteria; Bacillati; Actinomycetota; Actinomycetes; Micrococcales; Microbacteriaceae
Description: tRNA-Ser
Rfam family: tRNA
About the family: Transfer RNA (tRNA) molecules are approximately 80 nucleotides in length. Their secondary structure includes four short double-helical elements and three loops (D, anti-codon, and T loops).
Source: RNAcentral
GCCACUGUGAACCGGCACUUAGGAACUUCUGCUUCCCAAGCAGACAGCGCGGGUUCGAUUCCCGUCAUCGGCU